AUCGGCCCGAAAGCGCGGGAUCUAUACGUGAGCAGAGCAGUAUCAAGGCUCGAACCGGUGGUUGUAGCAACGCCCUCGGAAGACUUGCGUAUAGCAGUGAAAUGCCAAUCAUCCGCGCAGAUAGCUGGUUCACAACGAAAGCUAUGUUAGUAGCGCCUCCCUUCUAGUAUGAGCACACAGUAGAG
This 185-nucleotide ribosomal RNA is filed under the name Prymnesium parvum. Its description in RNAcentral is "partial Bacterial large subunit ribosomal RNA". It matches the Rfam family "Bacterial large subunit ribosomal RNA", at positions 709 to 907 of the family's 2925-position model. The record is from RNAcentral. Lineage: Eukaryota; Haptophyta; Prymnesiales; Prymnesiaceae.